This 459-nucleotide ribosomal RNA is filed under the name uncultured bacterium. Its description in RNAcentral is "partial 16S ribosomal RNA". It matches the Rfam family "Bacterial small subunit ribosomal RNA", at positions 338 to 795 of the family's 1533-position model. The record is from RNAcentral.
CCUACGGGUGGCAGCAGUGAGGAAUAUUGGUCAAUGGCCGGAAGGCUGAACCAGCCAAGCCGCGUGAAGGACGAAGGUGCCAAGCAUUGUAAACCUCUUUUGUCGGGGAGCAAAGCGAGUCACGUGUGACUCAUUGAGAGUACCCGAAGAAAAAGCAUCGGCUAACUCCGUGCCAGCAGCCGCGGUAAUACGGAGGAUGCGAGCGUUAUCCGGAUUUAUUGGGUUUAAAGGGUGCGCAGGCGGAGGUGCAAGUCAGCGGUCAAAUUGCGGGGCUCAACCCCGUACUGCCGUUGAAACUGCAUCCCUUGAGUGCGCGAGAAGUAUGCGGAAUGCGUGGUGUAGCGGUGAAAUGCAUAGAUAUCACGCAGAACUCCGAUUGCGAAGGCAGCAUACCGGCGCGCAACUGACGCUCAUGCACGAAAGCGUGGGUAUCGAACAGGAUUAGAUACCCUAGUAGUC